CUGGGCUCAGGACGAACGCUGGCGGCGUGCCUAAUGCAUGCAAGUCGAGCGGGCUACGAUCUUCGGAUUGUAGCUUAGCGGCGAACGGGUGAGUAACACGUAGGUAAUCUACCCUUCAGAGGAGGACAACCUCAGGAAACUGAGGCUAAACCUUCAUACGUUCACUGGUAGGGAUACUGGUGAAGAAAGAGUUACCCCUAGAGGGUAGCUGCUGAAGGAUGAGCCUGCGGCCCAUCAGGUAGUUGGUGAGGUAACGGCUCACCAAGCCGAAGACGGGUAACCGGUCUGAGAGGAUGUCCGGUCACACUGGGACUGAGACACGGCCCAGACUCCUACGGGAGGCAGCAGCAGGGAAUCUUGGGCAAUGGGCGAAAGCCUGACCCAGCGGCGCCGCGUGGAGGAAGAAGUCCUUGGGUGUGAAGAAUGCCUGAGGUUGACGGUACCUGACGAGGAAGCCCCGGCUAACUACGUGCCAGCAGCCGCGGUAAUACGUAGGGGGCGAGCGUUGUCCGGAAUCACUGGGCGUAAAGGGCGCGUAGGCGGCUGGUUAAGUCUGGUGUCAAAGACCACGGCUCAACCGUGGGGGGGCACUGGAAACUGGCUGGCUUGAGUGCAGGAGAGGGAAGCGGAAUUCCCGGUGUAGCGGUGAAAUGCGUAGAGAUCGGGAGGAACACCAGUGGCGAAGGCGGCUUCCUGGCCCGUAACUGACGCUAAGGCGCGAAAGCGUGGGGAGCGAACAGGAUUAGAUACCCUGGUAGUCCACGCCGUAAACGAUGAGUGCUAGGUGUUGGGGGCGCAGGCCCUCAGUGCUGAAGGAAACCCAAUAAGCACUCCGCCUGGGGAGUACGGCCGCAAGGCUGAAACUCAAAGGAAUUGACGGGGGCCCGCACAAGCNGUGGAGCAUGUGGUUUAAUUCGAAGCAACGCGAAGAACCUUACCAGGGCUUGACAUCCCUCUGACCGGGCCAGAGAUGGUCCUUUCCCUUCGGGGACAGGGGUGACAGGUGGUGCAUGGUUGUCGUCAGCUCGUGUCGUGAGAUGUUGGGUUAAGUCCCGCAACGAGCGCAACCCUUGAGCUUAGUUGCCAGCAUUCAGUUGGGCACUCUAAGCUGACUGCCGCAGACAAUGCGGAGGAAGGUGGGGAUGACGUCAAAUCAUCAUGCCCCUUAUGUCCUGGGCUACACACGUGCUACAAUGGCCGGUACAAAGGGCUGCGAACCCGCGAGGGGGAGCGAAUCCCAAAAAGCCGGUCUCAGUUCGGAUUGCAGGCUGCAACUCGCCUGCAUGAAGCCGGAAUCGCUAGUAAUCGCGGAUCAGCAUGCCGCGGUGAAUACGUUCCCGGGCCUUGUACACACCGCCCGUCACACCACGAGAGUCUGUAACACCCGAAGUCGGUGAGCCAACCGCAAGGGGGCUAGCCGCCG
RNAcentral lists this ribosomal RNA (1423 nucleotides) under uncultured Caryophanales bacterium. RNAcentral describes it as "uncultured Bacillales bacterium partial 16S ribosomal RNA". It matches the Rfam family "Bacterial small subunit ribosomal RNA". Lineage: Bacteria; Bacillati; Bacillota; Bacilli; Caryophanales. The record is from RNAcentral.